UCAAGAAUGUGCGAAUCAGGUGCCAUAAAUGACGGUCUGUCAUGAUGGAUAAACGGGAACCAGGUGCGUGACAUCGUGUCGCCAGGCCUGGGCUGCCCCCCGCAACGGUAAGCGUUAAACGGUGCAUCACCACGUCACUGGGCUCGGUUCGCCCGGGAAGACGAUGCAUUCGGCGCGAGCCCGGAUACCGGCCUGAACCCCGUGCGGCAU
This 210-nucleotide non-coding RNA is filed under the name Thiobacillus sp. Lineage: Bacteria; Pseudomonadati; Pseudomonadota; Betaproteobacteria; Nitrosomonadales; Thiobacillaceae. The record is from RNAcentral.